Long non-coding RNA from Parambassis ranga (Indian glassy fish), 953 nucleotides. Lineage: Eukaryota; Metazoa; Chordata; Actinopteri; Ambassidae. The record is from Ensembl.
GAUGCACACUUCCUGUAAAAAGCGCAGAAAUCGAAAGUACCCCGCUGGUUUGCGCCAUUUUCUAGAUUUCGCCUGCAGGCUCUGUGUCAUCUGGUGCGUGGUUGGAUUAACGUAAGCAGACAUGAAUGUUCCACUGCUGCUCCUUGGUGCUCUGGAAGACCUGCUUGAUGAGUACUUCAAAACAUUUAAGUGGUACCUCUCAAUGAGGGUCUUGGACAGCUGUGAACCCAUUCCCAAAAGUCGUCUGGAGAAGGCGCUCCGGCCUGAAACUGUCAGUAAGAUGAUAGAAUGCUAUGGCGAAGAGCUGGCUGUGGAAGUUACUGUCAAAAUCCUGAGGAACAUGAGGAUGAACAGUGCUGCAGAAGAGUUAAAGAAAGCACACACAGCGAGGGAAACAUCUGCACCCUCCACCUCUUCUCCUGCUGUGACACCUGCUACUGCUGCACCUGCAAUAUCAGCUCAGCAAGGGGGAGUGAUCAUAGCCCCGAUGGUCCACGGUGGCUCCACGGUGGGGGCGUGGAAUAUAACCAUCAACAAACCAAAUGAAUGAAAUGAAUGAAUUCAGGGCAGGUCAACUAGAAGUUAGGUUUCAUUCAUUUGUUCUUUACACAGUGAGACCAUAUCUCUUUGUAUCUCUCUGUAUAAACAUCCAGCAGCUCAGGGUUAUGAAUUCAGAGUUUUAUAUAUGUACUGUAUAUAUAUAUGUAUAUAUAUACAUAUAUAUAUAUGUCCUGUGGUGGUAAAUUCAGUGCACAUUGUAGUCAUUAAAAUAUUUGCAGAUAGGAGAUUUACUACUAUCAUGCUUUACAUGUUAUCCAGGCAUGUGGAUACCAAGACACUGUUUACCCAUGAAUUUGUAAUAAAAUAUUUUUUACCUCAUGUAAUGAUGAAGAAUGUAAUUUAUUCUUAAUAGAUAGUGUCUUCUCAAAACUUUAUUGAUUAAUGUCUUCCCA